Molecule: RNA transcript, 10297 nt
Organism: Cervus elaphus (red deer)
Lineage: Eukaryota; Metazoa; Chordata; Mammalia; Artiodactyla; Cervidae
Exons: 4
Source: RefSeq, a predicted model, not a curated record
UCUUCGAGUCAACACACUUCCAAGUACCAACACCGAACUUUGGUUCAAACUUUGGACAACUACCCCCACGCGUAACGGCUCAACCUCUUGGGCAUCCACGGAAUGUGCCAACUGGGUCGCAACAGUCAACUCACUCCCCUCCGACCCCAGCGCUGGGUCAGCCAUUGGGCUGGGGUCACGCCAAUCAAGGCUGCCUAGCGAAUGAACGGGGGGCGCCAGACCGGAAACCGGAUAUGAGUGGGAGGUCCAAUAGGGGGCGCCGCGUUGGAACGCCCUAAGAGGUUGUGCCGCUGGGGUGGUUUGGAGCGGUUGGUGGGCGGGCGUAUGGCGGUCAGGCCUGGGCCGCCACGAGGCCGGCGGGCACUGUGGGGUCACUUUCUGACGCCCCAGGUCACCGAAGCUGAAAGGGGAGGUGGGAUCUCUCAGGGAGCAGCCCUCGUUCUCACUGAUGGCGGUGGGUAAACCCCUAAGAGGGAUCCGCUGCCAGGGCGAGGUGAGGAGGAGGCGAAAGGGCCUGCAGGUAGAGGGCCAAGACCCUGAGGAGAGAGGGGGCUCCCUGCCCCGAUGCAGAGGAUCAGCCCCAGAUGGAUAAGGAGUUGAGGUCGCGGGGAUGCUGAGCCCUGCCGAAGUGGAAGUGACUGGCUACCAGGAUCUGAAAACCCCAAAUCUCUUGGAUGAGUGGGGAUCAGAGCUGAAGCUUCACCACAAAUCAGAAGUGGGACUUGAGAGACUGGCAGAAGGGUAGCCAGAUGUUGGAAGAGGUGGCUAACCUGAAAGGCAGCUGGGGAGCCUUGCCACAGGGGCCCAAGAAACCAGUAUGGUAAGAGCUGGGGGUGAUCAGCUGGGGGGCUAACUGGGGGCCACUCUGAUUGGUGGGACUGUCGGGCGAGCCCAUUCAGGGCUGGUGAUCUUGUUGGCCAAGACAGAAACGUGGCCUUGACCUGGAUGGAGGUGGCCAGAGGGCCCAGUUUUUUUUUUGUUUUUUUUUUAGUUCUACCAGUUUAUUGCUACCAGCCCAUCUCCCUCCACCCUUGUGCACACAUGCUCAGUCAUGUAAUCCCAUGGACUUCAGCCCGCCUGACUCCUCUGUCCAUGGAUUUUUCCAGGCAAGAAUACUGGAGUGGGUUGCCAUUUCCUUCUCCAAGGGGGCCCAGUUUUUAAGAUCUGCCAUUAUGAUUUAUAAUCGCAAAGUAUUACCUUAGGCAUCGAUUUCCAAUUCUGGAUGGAUUUCUAUCAGGGAAGAGGUAAAUAUUUUCUAGAAAUGAGCACGAAGUGGGAAGGAACAUUAGUUAAUGGGUUCAUGUGACCCAGAAGAGGAAGGCAGAGACUAGGCAGGGUGCCUGAAGAAAGACUGAGCUGGGGUGAAGCUGCAGGCUGGGGUUUGGUGCCCACCCAGCAGGGCUUGUCCUAGGGUCUGCAGUGAAAUGGUACUCUGAGAGGAGAAAAGGCUGGGCUGUCAGAAGCCAGGUGGAGGUUUCUUGAAAAUUGUGUAUCCUCAACUACUUAAAAAGAACAGGGUUUCUACACUUCAUGCAUUGAGAAAGGAUGGGAAAUACUACGCAUGUUUCAGUUAAACAUUGCACUUCUAAGGAAGUCAGUGUGUUCAGACCUGACAGGCCAGGUGCCACAGGGAGUGAUCAGCUGGCUUUUUGUAAAGAAAUAACCCCAAAUGGAAAGACAGUAUUUUUUCACUGUUGACUCUAAACAGCACCAGUGUUACCUGCAGGGACGUGGCCCCCUUCCUUGGCGGCCCCACAUGACUCCCUGCCAACCCCCCCACCCCCCGCCCCAACUCCGUCUUCUGCUCUAUUGACGCCUCCAUGGCAGCACACGUCAUAAUCAGUGAACGACUGUCAGUGUACUUACGUCUGGAGGUUCUUACUCAUUGCUAAAGGCACAUGGCCUAUCCAGACUGUAAGUAGCUGCCUAUCAGCUUUCUGUUUUAGUUCAUCCCUGUAUCCAAUAAAGAGAAAGCAAAGUGGAAGAGGGUCCCUUGAGAGGGAGGGGAGGUAGGCAAAAGAGAAGAGAGCACAAACUAGGACAAAAAACGAUCGCUUUUCCCCUGGUGGUUGCAUUUCCUCCCGGAAGGUGGGGGGAUGGUUGGCAGGGGGGCAGUUUGCAGAGCCUUCUCUGCAGCCCCCAUGUGUCAUUAGCUGGCAGUGGGUUACUGUCAGGUGAGGAAAAGGAGAAUCUUUUCACCAGUUGUGAGGAAAAGGCAAAAGCAGAAAUGAGAGGACAAAGGGAAGAGAAUUCAGGCGACGAUUACGUUUCUCAGCCUCCCAGUGACAAAUGUUUUCUGAGUGCUGAGUGAGUAGCAAUAAGACUUUGAUGCUGUUCAAUUAAUUACUGUUCAAUUAGGACUCACUGCGCCCAUCCUUUUACCUCCCAGCAUCUCCUCUGCCAGCCUCAGCCGGUGGAGGCAGCAGCAGCCUACUGCUGUCUGCAGAAGGGUCUGCGUGACCAGGCUAUUUCAGCAAAUGCCAAGUGCAGGGAAAAUGCCUCCAAUGGAUGAGGCUUAGGAGCAGGCACAGAGCUGACAUUACAGACAGUGGCAGCCAUAGAUGUGAAAAGACUUGAUCUCAGAUUAAAAAGCCCCAGGGGCCAAGGGUUCCCACCAAGAAUCCAGACCUCUUCGUUCAGCUAGUCCCUUCGUUCAGCUCACUAGGUGUCCUUGGUGGCCCUCAUCUUGGAAUGGCCACCCCAUUCUGCAGCCAGACACGAGGCUGGCACCUGACCACCUUGCACUUGUAGGGUGGGUCCAGACAUUCUCUACAGCCACCUGGACAGAGCUGUGGAUUCCUCCUCUAGGCUGGCUGAUGGUGCAGCUGAGAAUUCCAGGGGAGGAAGUGGCUAUUCCAGAUUAGAGGAACACCACCACCCUGGGAAGAGGACUAAGAGGGGGCAAAAGUUGGGGGCAGAGAUGGUGGGAGGAAAUCCCAGAAGAGAAAUUUGGCUUUAGUGGAAGCUCUAUUUGAAAUUUCGGUAAUUCUUGGUGGAAAUUCCAGGCCCCCAGGGGCUUCUUGGCUGCAUGACUUAUUCCGCUUGACUUUGUAAGGGGAAUGGUAUAUUUCACCUUUGUGCACAAUCUCAAUUACCCAGAGCAAAGUCUCCUAAUGAAAUCUAAUUGAGACAGCAACAUAAGCCAGGGCACUCAGAAGCCGGCUCUUGCCUGGGGGAGGAAAAAUUUGUCUUCUUCAGCGUGGGGGUGGGUGGGGGCAGUCUUGGACUCUGUGAUCCUCAUACCCCUCAAGUUUGAGAUUUGGGGACUCUCCCUGAACCAGAAUCUAGGACUUAGGAUUUAAACCAUAUAAAGCAAGGUUUCCUAGGUUGUAAAUCUUCCCAUUUGAUUGAAGCAAUUGAGGUAUAUAUAUAUGACAGCUCGACUGCACCUAUGAAAUUGAAAUUUCUGGGCCAGGCCUGUAAGAGACUCUCAGGGGGACAGUGACUGUAGGGUGACUAAUCCACUGUCACCCUCAUCUGUGAAAAAUGCUCUUCCUGAUACUAAACUGAUGUUGAAGACUGCCAUGGAGGCUCCUCUAAACCUUCUCCUCCCCAAAUCUCUUGCUUCAGCCUGUUCUUUCCAGCCCUAACACAGGUUUUGUGACCCCCCAUCUCCAAACCUUAGCCUCCUGUCUUCUCAGGUGUCUCAUCUCCCUCCGUCUUUCCUUUUUCCUGUGAUUUCCCCCACACUUUCCUUUUGUAGUCCUCGAAUCCCCCACUGAAUUACAGCACUGCAUGCCCUGGAAUGGGGAGGUGGGGGUGCCGCAGUGCCAGCUCCUCUCAGAUGUCCUGCCUUUACUGGCUGAGUGUUGUCAACAGGUGACAGUGGCCCCGCACUGCACACUCUUGGCCUUGGGAGAACUAAGUCACUAGGCUGCUUACUCGGGCUUCUCUGCCAUGUGAAUUCACUAGCACCAGUAUCGGGGAUCUUGGGGGAAAAAACACAAGAUUUAAAGAAAACAAACAUCAGUAAAAUUCAUCUUAUAUAUAGCCUUGUAAUAUGUAGCCCCCCAAAGGUUAAAAUACAGAACAAAAAUGGGAUGUUAAAUCACUUAACUUGACAUACAUUAGUUUUUCUUAAACACUUAAAAAAAAAAAAAUCUCAUGCAUUUGCAAGAGAGGUAAGAUUGGUUUGGGGGGGAGUGCAAAAAAACCUUAGCUAUUCCGAGAGCCCACAGUAGAGAGGCAGAUACACGGUGUGUCUCUGAAUCUGUGGUAUUCACAUUUCAUGAGUCAGGACUAAUUCAGAAAGAAAUAUCUGAAAAAGCUCCUGGGAGGAAGCGAUAAUGAAGGGGGGAAAAGGUUGAAAGAAAACUGGUUUAUCCUAACUAGCUGCAGCCUCUGAGCCAGUUUUUCGGGUCAGUCCUCAUCAGGGCACUUGUAAGUGUUACUAGAACAUAUACUCAGCACUUGAGGUCAGUUUGACGGUGGGAGCAUUUGUCUGCUCUCUCCCCAAACGGCGGGCAUCUCCAGGCUGCCUGCCCCCACCCUGAAGAGCCUAUCUUCUGACCCUGUGAUGAAGGAGGGCAGAUGAGAAAACAGCACACCUAAAACAAACAGUAACUCUUAAGUGUAACAGCUGCUCUUCAGAAGGCCGUUCACCCCCCAUCCUUGUUAGUAAGAGGUUGUGGUGGGGUUAGGAAUUCCCUAACCUGUCUGCCUCAGUUCUCUAAAUCCUGUGUAUGAAUUUUUUUUUUGACUUGCUUCUACACCAUUUUUGCCCCCAAUGCAAAACCAGAUUUGAGAAAAUCAAAUUAGACAAACACAAAACAGAAAGAUUUCUUCACAACUGGUGUUUUUAUUUUAUCAACCUUUCUUUCUUUUUUUUUUUUUUGGCGGGGGAGGCUCUUUUAACAUUAAAAUCAUUGAUCUGAGUCAAAUUGGGCAACUCUGGGCAACUCUGUAGGUACUGGGAGCAGAAAGGGAUGCUAGGACCUGCUCUUCACCUCCCUCAUGUUCCACAUGAAGAAACUGAGGCAGACACCGCUGGGCCUGACCCCAGGCAGGGCUGGGUGAUGAGCCUGAGGUCUUUGACCCAGCUGUCCAGCUCUGGGGCAUCAGAAUUUAGAAAACAGCGUCAUUAAUGGCAAACCCGAAGAACAGGAUGAGGGAUUCCAGCCCUCAUUCUGAAACGGGAUUAUAGAUGUAAUUUGAGAAUCUCAUUGCCUCUUUGCUGGACAAUUUUUAAGGGAAGGGCAGUCCUUGAGUUGGCAUAUGACAUCACUCUGGAAGCUUGAUUUGAUUCUAAUGAUUUGUUUGUAAUUGGUCACCUUUCUGUUAAGAGACAUACUUUCCUAGCCACCAAGAUUUUUGCUCAGUUUCCUCUCUGUAGCCUCCCUUUACAUGAAGCGCAGUGAUAAUAUAGAAAAACUGAGUAAAAUCUAUGCAUUUUUUUAAAAACUUAUUUCUUAACAACACUGAAGUUUCAGCUUUCUUCCUCAUUAAACCUUCUAUCACAGCUGCUAAAACUGAGGCUAAAGAGUAAAGGGGUGAUAGCAGUUCCAGGGGAAAAGUUUCUAGUGCGUUAAAUAGACAUUAUCUUAAAACAAUUCCAAACUUUAAAAUUCCCAAUUCCCGAAUUCUGAAAUGUUUUGUUUGCCAAACCUUAGAAGUAAACCUACAUCAGAUUGUUGACACCACACAGUAUUUGAACACUGAUGCAUAAUUUCCCAACUCAAGUUCAGCUAAAAGAACGCUUUUGUCCAAGAAAAAGCACAUUUUUAUUAAGCAAAUGAUUAAUGUAGCAAAAGAAAAAAUCCUGAAUAUUGGAGAAGACCAUUUAACCAGCUUUAUUUGACUAGUUUUCCCCUCCUCUUCCUCUUUUCCUCUCCAAUGGAAACCGUGUAACUGGCUGGUAAUUCACCCCUGUGGUCAACUCUUAAGGGCUGCUUUUGGGGAGCCAAUUUCCUAAAUUGCAAGGGCAAAUAAGGCCAUUCAAAUGCUAAUGCCUCGAUGCAGCAGGGCAAGACAAAGGGCUAGUUGGGAGACUAGAGAGUGGGGAAUGCUUGGAGAACUUGCCAGAAACGCUUCUAGGAGAGAAAGGCAGCUAAACACCAGUGCCUUAGGUAGAAAGAGGGCUUUUUAAAUUGUGUGUAUAGCAAAAGCCCCUCUCCGUGGGGUGGGGGUCCUCAUCACAGGGCUUUGGUAAGUUCCUCAGGUGUUCCGAUUGUUCCUAAUGACUCUUCCACCCUGGAAUCAGGAUGGAAGGAGGGAGGGGGUGGGGGAAGGGAACUGAGUGGGGGAGGGUAACAGGUUUUCUCAAUCAGGUAGUUCAUGGAGGAGUGUCUGAAAGAGGUGCGUUCCUGGAAGGGGGGACCCUGCCUCCGCCCCCCAGCUAACCUGGCAUAAUGCCUACAAUUAAGAAAGCCGCCCUCUCCCGCGCAGGCUUCUGUUUAAAAAACAGCCCGAGACUGGGGUGACAGGUGUGGGCGUUGCACUGAGGACUUUUUUUUCAACUUGUAUAUGCUAAAGCAACAUGCUAGUUUCUCUAAUGCAAAACCCAGCUCUGCAGGAAAACAGUCCCCCUAGACUCUCCAACCUGGGAGGGCAGCCCCCACACUGAAAAGCCACGGCAUCCUGACCGCAGUCGCCUAUUCACCAGAGACCUUUUACUGGGUGAGCUCAGGCUGCCAAGACAUCACCAGAGAAAAAGCCAGCACUUUCAAUGCUUCGGAUAGGAACACUGCGCCGCCGUUUUUACACUAAGUAGAAAUGUCAGCUUUGGGGAGCCCCAUUUCACUUAGGCAGUUUAACGCUUUCAAGCCAAAGACAGGGCACGCGGGACCCGCCUCCAAGUCCUUGGCAGCCUCCAGACUUCUGGACACUUCCCCCGCUGCCCAGGGUAGCCCCCUCGCCGCUAUUUACUAGUUAAGACCAGAACAGCAUCCAAGAGCCAUUAGUCAGCGCCGCAGCCCACCAGAGCUGUUUUGGUGCGGCGCGAUGCCUUCCCCCGGGCGGAGACCUGGAAGGAAGACCCCUUAAAAUAUGUUCUGAAUAUAGACCGAAACCUUAUUUUAGGAGUCUAAGAACCCGACCCGCCUUUUCAAGUCUCCAAACUACUCACUUUCCCCCCAAAUCCUUCUCAUCAGAAUAGCUCAAACCGGCACCAAACGAGACGCCCGCGCAACAAGAAAAGAUCAGUUUCCAAAUCGGGGGAGGUUUUGUAAAUACAUUUUCACUAACCAGUCUUUCCCCCCAGGAUUGGCGAGAGAGGCACACUUUACGCACCGAAGAUGCGUUACCGGAUUGCGGCUGUUUCUGUGCUCCAGCUUUGCCUUCAGGUUACAGAUUCCAAACUUAGCCCCACCCGAGCCAAAAAUGGCCGGUGCGCGCCGCCUGCCCUCCCCUCCCCGAGGCUGCCGGAGCCUCAGGCCCCUUCCUUCUCUCAACUAAUCGCCCGGGGAUUUGCGGCGGCUCCUACACCUUUCCCCAGCUCGGCGGGUGCUGCGCUCUGUCGGAAUGCGCUCUUUGGCUAUGCGCUCUUUGGGGGUGCGUUGUGGGGUUCCCUGAUGAUAGGCGCGACUCCGUCUCCAGCCUGUUUCUUGUUCCGCUUUACCUUUUCGCUCGCGACCACCUCGCUGACCUUUUAGCUACUAUCUAACAUCCCCAGGCAGCUGCGCAAAAAGCCCGGGACCUCUCCAGCCAAGAUGUACCCAGCGUCACCAUCAGACCAGCUGCGCCAAAAGGUUGGCGAUGCCGCGACACGACCACGUCUGCGCCCCCAACCCUGGUAGUCCGUCGGGCACCUCCCGAAACUCCCGUACCUCCUCUGCCUGCCCUCCAAGCACAGGAGACUCUCCAGGGUAGCUUCCUAUGCCUACCCGCCCCCCCAACCCUGGACACUUCUUGGACCUGCUCUGGACCUGUGGCCCUGUGGUCUCAGGUAGGUGGUGUGACCCAUGUGGAUUUCCUUGUCUUGCAUGGUGGUUGGGUGAGGCAUCACGGGUUCCACCAGCUUUUUUCCUCCCAUCGUGAAGGAGGCCUUGCCAUACAGCUCCCCACCCCACCCCUGCUCUCCAGCAUCAGCAGGGCCUCGCGACUCCGACUCCUUCUUCUGGCCAAGUAGAAGGGCUAAGGCCCGCAGGAGUUAACUUCACACAGGUGAUCUGUCUGAGAUCAUGUUGGAGGCCUGGGAGAGCGCCACUCGGCCCAUUUCAUUACAGCCUGCUCGCAUUCACCUGAGAAGGGGCCCGUUCUCAAAAUCAUGGCUACUUCUCUAAGUCAGCAGACAACAGCCUGAAGAUCACCCGAAAAUGUCCCCUGCACUGAGGGCUGUUUUAGCUAAUGGAAGGACACCAAGUUGAAGAUCCAUCCGGGUGUGACCUUGGGGGUUGUGGGCAUGUUGUGUGUGAGGGAGGUUUAUCCUGUUAACCCUUUGCCCCCUUUUCUCUCUCUCCCCUAAGGCUUUCUUCUUUCAGUGUCCUUGAAGCCAUCAGCAGUUGUGUCCCCCCCAAAGCCCUAACACUGUUCUGUGUGGUACCACUGAGCCUCCUUAAUGUCCCUCCUUGCUGCAAAAUCUUAGUGCUUCAGCCUCUUCUUGGUGGGCAUCUCACCUUGCCCUUGAAGGAGAGCUUUGCUGGGAGGUAAGGUGUGGUCUUCACCCUCCAAUAGAACCCACCUAUCCUUAAGGGUCUCCGUGUUGCAGGGUCUGCAGAUAUCAGUUAGACUGGGGUCUUAUCUGGCCCAGCGAUGGGCCUUUUAGAAAUACCUCAUCACAGCUGACCUUAGGUUCACGACUGGGCUUCUCAGAGAGGCCUGAUUAAUUCAUGGUGCCCCGCUCCCCGCCACCCAUAGCCACCCGAGACAAGAGGAUUUACUGUACCAGUUUAUUGCCAAGCUGUAUCGGUUGAUAAGCAGGAAACUCCAGACCAUCUGUUUAAAAAUAAAAAAUGAACAGCAGCACAGCCCUAGAGCUAACACUUUGUACUGCUGCAUAGUAAACGAGCCCACUGGAUGCAGUGACCUCGGCUGAGGUGGCGACAGGCUUGUCCUCCAUCCCUCUCAUCCGGGGCGCCAGAUUUGUGGAAGGCAGAGCACCACCACUCCCCCACCCCAACAGCCAGCAUCACUCUCCUCCUAGCUGCUCCCAGGCCCCUCGUCCACGUCUGGCUGCAUUCGAGGGUUUCUAACUCUUCUUUAGACCCCAAAGACUGUUCCCAGCAGGAUGUCCAUCCCAUCAGCUGAGAGUCCUCGUGGUCAGCCUCAUGGACCUGUUGUGGAGGCCAACCCGCAGGACAGGACACGGGAGCACGGGCUGAAGAGGCCUUCCUGUGGCCGCUAAGGACAAGCCUUUUGCUUGGCGCCUGGAUCAAGGCAGUGACAGAACCUUCCCAGAGAAGCCUUUGGAAGUGAAAUGUUGAGGCCACGGCAGAGCAACGGUCAAGUUCUUCUGUUUCCCAUGGUGCCCUGAGCCUGCUGCCAAGCCCACGUUCAAAGGCUGUUUCUUCAAAGUUAAUGGUGCCGCCUUUGAGCUGGGAGGGGAAGCGGGCAGUUGGGAGGCCCGUUUCAAUGUGCAUGUUUGAAGGGGAGGCAGGGGUUCUUUGGUUUAUGGUCGUGUGAGAACUUGGGGUGGGGAGAGGGGUCCAUGUCCACCUGGGUGCUACCUGGGCCCCAGGUGGGCGGGGCUGGGAGGGGGCGUCAGGCAUCGCCUUGUGGAAAGUGACCAUGAAGGACCCUUCCGGAGGGCCCCCCCCAAUCCUGUUGUGUUUGGUUCAGAGGGUUGGGCGGAGGCUUUCCUGAAGGGUCUGAGAGAGCAGCACCCACAGGCUGUGUACUCAGGAGCUAGGACGUGGGGGUUGGAUGAGGAGAAGGCCAGCCCGGCCUGGCUGUGUGUCUGCCUGCCUCCCUGAUGGAGGCCUGACCCGGUCAGCCGCCCUGUGGUGGCCAGUGAGCAUCGAGAUGAAAACCCAGGAGCACAGGCCCCCGACCCCAGCCUCAGCCUUGAGCACCUGGGGCUCCCCGUCGGCCCUCACACUCUUUAGCCCACAGCUGUCGGCCAGUCUGCACCUGCCUGUGUGCCCCCUUUUGGGGUCUUUCUCCCUCACCCCAGCUGCACACCUGGCCUGGCUAGCCCUCCCCACCCUUGGGAAGCCUCUCUGACCGUCCAGCCCUCCUUGGACAUCACAGCCCUUUCGUCUGGUCUCUCUGCCGAAGCCUGUUUGCUGCCCAUGGCUUCUAGUUCUUCUGGAUGAGCACCCAGGGGAUGGCCAGAGCUGCCGUGGCGACUGCAUGAUCCUCCAGCUUCUUUCUCCACACGUGGCACUCAGUAGGUGCCUAAUAAACCUGUUUAGAACGAGUA